UUACACAGCACGCGAAAUUCGAAUUUAUGACUUUUGGUGGAGUCUGAACUUUUGACGAAUCUCACAAUGUGCUUAAAAAUGAAGGUGGAAUCUCACAUGACUGCUUAGUAGAGCAGCAAGCUAGAGGCUUUUGAGCAAGUAAAUUCUAUCCACUAAAGAUAAGUGGCCAUUAUCCAUUUCUCUACCAAUCAUUGUAGCUUCUUGUCUUUGGAAGGCAAAUUGAAGGAGAAGCUUUUGGAAUGGAAGGAGUUCUGCAUUCUUCAACACUAACCCUUCCCAUUACCUGUCAUCAUAUCUCCAAAACCCAGAUCCUGAAAACAGCCAACCACAACCCCACGCAAAGGCCAAUGCUAAUGAUCUCCACGUUCCCAGCAACACUGGGAACCAAAACUAGCACGAAAUUCUCAACAAUAUUGGCAGCAGCAGCGGUUCAGCCUUCGCAGCCUCUCGAUCUAACGGAAGACAAUAUUCGACAGGUCUUAGCCGAUGCAAGGGUUGAAUUCGGGCAGCUCUUCGACACUUCAGUUGGCAUGACAGGACAAGUAGACCUUGCUGAACUUGACGGACCCUUUGUGAAGAUCAGUCUGAAAGGCCGGUUUUGGCACGAACGGAGCGUGGUUCUGGCUAGACUGGCCAAUUAUCUCAAGCAGAGGAUCCCUGAAAUUUUAGAGGUUGAUAUAGAAGAUGAGAAGCAAUUGGAUGACAGCCCUGCAAACUUUUAGAGGUUAUAAACUUCAGACCAAAAAAGAAAGGUGUAACUAUAUAUUUUAGACUGUCUGUAAAAGGGUGCAUUCAACCCGAAAAAAAGGUUCAAGUCUCUUAUGAAGACCAAGUACACCCUUGGAUUAGCACAUAAGCAAGCAACUUACAUUUUUGACAUUCUUUAUACAAAAUAAAAUGAACAUGUUUCGCAUUUCCCCAUUAAUUCUUUUUGGCAUUUUUCCAGUAGUAUUAGAAAUUUAGAAGCCA
RNA transcript from Malus domestica (apple), 969 nucleotides. RefSeq lists it as uncharacterized. The record is from RefSeq and is a predicted model, not a curated record. Lineage: Eukaryota; Viridiplantae; Streptophyta; Magnoliopsida; Rosales; Rosaceae.